CCUAGUCAGAUUACACAUCGGUGAGGAGAAUACACAUUUUCCACAAUUUGAUUACAUUGGAGAAUCACUAUCUGGGUUUGUUACAUUUAUUACUGUAGCAUGUUCAAUCAUUUAGGUAUUUAAUUUUAAUUAUCUUUAAUUGAGUACCAUUUCAAAUUGCAAACAAGAAACAAAUUUGUAUAAAUCUUUGUGUUUGAAAAGUUCAUUUUCAAAAAUAAUCAUUUUUUUUAUAUUGUAGAAAAAAUACAUCAUGACCGGGUGUCUCCACAAAAUUUUGAGAGCAACAAUUGUACUUCCGUUUACUGCGGGACUUGUUAAGGACCGAAGAAAUGGCAAUUAUACAGUACAUGAUGGCAGUAUAUCCGGUGUCGUUUUAUUAACAACUAUAGUUAUAAUUGUUGUUGUCACAAGUAUUGCUCUUCCAAUUAACAAUUCCUAGAUAUCUAAUGAUUGGAUUGUUAUUUCUUGCUAUAUUCAGUUUAAUUUUCUGUCGUGUGUUGGUAUACUUUCGUAGCCAUUGGAAAUAUUCAAGGAAACCAAGAGUAACAGACAAGUUAAAAAUAACAUUUCUGUGGGGGUUUUGCAUUGGAAAUAUUGUAUACCUAGCAACGAAAUUGGCUGUAAAUAUCCAGUGUGACCAAUACCCGUCGCUUGUUGAACCAAUAUUAUACUACAUUUUCAUUUGGGUAUUUGAUAUCAGCCAAACCGCAUUUAUUCAUUAUUUUUCCAGAUUUAGAUUCGCUAGUAUGACUUAUUUUUACUACAUACUUAUGUUUAUGUUUGUUGCCAAUAUAUCUGCAUGGACACACCGAACUAUUGACAUGUAUAAUGAUGAUCAAAUGCUGACUAUACUAGAACAAAAUCAAACAGAUGAUACAUGUAACAAUAAAACAACACUUCAUCAGACAUUUACCAUCCUUAAGCCGUUCUUAGAACCAUUGUUGCUAGAAUAUUGUUUACUGUGUAUGAUUUUCAUCUCCGAGAUGUGGCCUAGACAUAUAACAGAAACAAAAGAUCAGCAAGAUUUACAUAUAUAUGAUUCAGCAUCAUACCAGCAAAGCUGUGAAAAUCAGCCGCUUCUGUCCAGUAGACCGUUAACAGUAUCAACACAACACCACCCCACAAAUAAAAAAUCGAUGUGUUGCGUAGUUUUCGUUAUUCUGUAUACACUUUCGUAUAGUAUAAUACAAUGCGUGUUUCUUUAUGUAGAUAAACUUAAACCAUAUCAACUGGUAAACAGUGUUUACGCUCUUUUUGGAAAUCUCGCAGCAAUUUCUUUGCUAAUCAAAUGUUUUUAUGAAUUGUCCGGUCAGUUACAGCCAAAGAAAACACCAAGAGCCACUAUGAAUAUGAAACAUUUUAUUAUAUUGACCACAUCUCUAGCCACAUGCGGUUUCUUCAUCGUUCAGUUAAUUGGUGCAAAAUACCGCGAUACCUGGGAAGAUUUGAAUUAUGUUAUACGAUUAGCUGCAACAAUACUUCAAACUACAUUCAUAUUACAGAUGAAGCAAUAUCGGAAAUGCGGGAAUGUGAAUUCGUAUUUUACAAUACGUUAUGUGUUUUCGCUUGUGUGUAUCUUAAAUUUUGGGAUUUGGUUUUACUACACAUUUAUAUCUGCACAACACGAGUUUUUCCACAGACAUAGACAUCAAAUGUUUGACAGACAAACAAUAUUAGGAGUUAAACAUUUUUGGUUUCCUUUUGUUAUUUUCUACCAUUUUGAAUGCUCUUUUUGACAUUCUAUCGUUUAUUUAAGGAAUGAUGUAUUAUUUAUAUAUCCUCCGAGGUUUUUAUUAUAUACUGUGGUUCUUGACCAUCAAAGUUCUGCAUUUCUAACAGCAGGUUUAAUUGAAAAUUGUUGACGAAUAUCUUUAGUUGAGUUUAGUUUUCUUAUUGUUCAA
This 1901-nucleotide long non-coding RNA is filed under the name Mytilus galloprovincialis (Mediterranean mussel). Lineage: Eukaryota; Metazoa; Mollusca; Bivalvia; Mytilida; Mytilidae. The record is from RNAcentral.